CCUUUAUUCUGGGAUUUGAUACCACAUCAUUAAAUUGAUUAUGAUGCCAUCAAAAUCAAGAUUCUAUAAACAAUCAAACCAGAUACAAUAUUAUUCGAAAUGAGGCAUCACAGCAUCAGUACAUGUCAAAUACAUCUAAUUCUGCAACCCUUCGAUUCCUUACAAACAAGAGAGCUCCAGCUCAAUUAUACUUGAUGAAUUCUAAACAGUUCAAAAAAAAAAAAAAAAACCCUACUACAUGUAGCGACCAAGAACUCGACUUUGCAACGACCCUACUAUAUAGAGUAAACCAACGAGACCGGAUAAGAUACUUCACACGGUCUGAGUACCUUAUAGGUCGAGCCUGGCACAUGUAGCGCCACUACCUAAAUAACUAGACAUCCGACAUCUAACUAGCUUUCCCUACAUGCUAUCACUUGUAGAAUCGAAGAACAUGAGCUAAGAAAGAGUACAGCAUUAGCAUACAUGUAGAAUUGAGACUAACCUAAUGGUAUAACAAAGGAACGAGGGUUGCGGUUGUUGGAACGUCAUCAUUCCGAGGCGGUAGAGUCUGUUGGUGUUGCUUUCAAUCUGAGAUAAUGGAGUGAGAGAAGGGUUAUAGAUGCAUGGUAUUGUAUCUGUUGAAUCAGCAACGGUAAGCUCUCAGCUCUUUUUGAUGAAUUUUAUUUCUUAUGCUUACUGCUGAGAGUGGGGUUUCUUUAGCGAAUUACUCUAAGAGCAAACUUAUGGUGAUAAGAUAAUAACUUUAUCUGAGAAUGGAUUGGCUCUUUGCUCGCUCUGCUGCUCUUGAGGUUUGCUAUUUGACUAUAUUUGGAAACGCUCGUGUGCGUGUGUGUUGUUCUUUUUCAUGUGAUGAAUCAUAACUCAAUGCUUAUGAGAUGAGAUUUUCUCGGCUGUGUAUAUAUUAGUUAUAAAUUUAGGUGGAUAUAUCAUAUAUGGGUUAUUCGCCUCUUUGUUAUUGCUGUCGUCGUCGUUGUUAUGGUGGGUUGGCCGUGCUGAUUGACGCGGGUUGAUAUGUGGAACAUCCUCUGUUAAGUUGAUUUUCAAUGUGGUUUUGAGUAGUGAAAAUAUCAUUUAAGAAUAUACAUCUAUCUCAUUUACGACGAACUCACGUUGCAGCUAUAGAACAUAUAUAUAUAACAGGCAGCUAGGAAGGGGCCACCUACAGGUACACUUCGAUGAAGGCCGCCGAGAAUAUGAGGCCGUACUCCCGCUUGCAGACGGCACGGCUCUGAAGAAGGCUGGCGGCGCCAGACAAGCCACGAUGCGAUCCAUCAGAUUCUGCAGUCCAUCCAAGGAUUUGGGUUUGGAUUUGUGGUGCAGAGUAAUGUUGAGGAAGCGAAUGCGUAGGAAAUAGGUAUGCUUAUGGGAGUGUGCUAAUAAUAAAAUUUCGAAUUGCUGCAAAUGUUAGUAUGUUCUAACAAUUGAAUAACUUAGAACAGCAGUAACGUGGAACAUAGUUUUUUUUUUUUUUUUACUUGGGGACAUGGAACAUAGUUUCAGAAGCAAAAAGAUGAUCAAAAAUAAGUUCCGACACUCGGAGUAUUUAAUUUAGCAAAAAGAUGCUUAUGGGAGUGUGGAAAGGCUCCAUGUUUGGAGUUACAAAUUUAAGGAUUUUUGGCAAGGGGAAGAAGCAGAAGAUAGUUUCUGACGAUGAUUGUUUUUGUAUACUGCACACAUAGAUGUGAGCUGCUUAUGUAAUUUAAAGUUUAAAAAACUGUAAUUAGAUUUCAAUAUUUGCAAACCUAAAUAAAAGUAUUGAAAUAAAUAUUUUCUUCAAUUGAAUUUGGUCACAUAAAGUACUUAAUAAUACUUCAAUGUAUUUUAAAUAAAUAGGUAGUUCAAUUUAAUUUGGUCAUAUAAAAUAAAGAAAAUGAUACUAAGAUAUAUGUGUAAUAAAGAAAAUUUUCAAUUUAAUUUUUCAUAUAAAAUAAUUUGAAAUAAAUCUGCAUUUCCACAUUAAUCUCAUAAUGAUAUAUCUAAAUAAAAGGCUUAAUCUUCAUUCAUAUAUUAGCUUAACAUCGUUCCAUAUUAUAUUUUAUCAUUGCGCAUUGAUCUUUAUUGAACUUCACUAUGAAAAAAACAUAAAUAAAAGGAUACUUUUGAGAUAAUUUAAAAUAAAUAGAUUCUUCAAUUAAAUUUGAUCAUGAAAAAUAAUUUCAAAUAAUUAUCAUUCUCGAAUUGAUCUAACACAUGCUCAUAUAUAUUGAAUCUAUAUUAAAUCUCACAAUUCACAAUUAAAAAAAAAUAUUAUUAAACUUUACCAUUUAAAAAUCUAAAUAAAAAAAAUACUUAAACUUUGAAAAAUUAAUAAAUAUAUAUUUAAAUAUAUUUGAAAUAAAUAGGUUCUUAUUGUUUGAAAUUUUAUCGAGAUUAUUAACAAAUUAUUGUUUAACAUUUUAUUUGGUUAUAUACAUAUUUUAUAAAUUUUAAAAAAAUCAAGAAAUUAGUUGAUAUUAUUAUAUGGGUUUAGGACGAGAAUAAGUAUUAAAAUAAUCACAUAUCUAAUAGGAAAUGGAAUACUCCUAUGUGGCAUCACCAUAUUUUUGCACUUUUAUUUAUCCUAAUUCUCUAGACAUUUUCAUAUUUAUUCAUUCUUAUUUAUCAAAAUCUUCUCAUCCCACAUUGAUUUUUUAUGAGAUUUCACCAAAAUAAAAUCUAUAUAAAAGGAUGCUCUUACUCUCCAAACCAAAAACCCACAUUUAAUUGGUGAAGUGAUUGAGAUUAAUACAAUUUGAAUUGCAAUAAAAGUUGAUCGAAUUUAUUUAGUUGAAUAAAAAAUAAUUAAUUUUAUUUUUUAAAAUAAAUACUUGUGAUUAAAUAAAUUAUUUCUCCAUUUUAAUUUGGUCAUAAAAUAAGAUAUUUUGCAUAUUUUUUUUUGGAUUACAGCAUUGAUUUUUUAUGAAAAAUCACCAAAAGAAAUACUAAAUAAAUUAAUAUGAUAUAAUUUGAAUAUCACAUCAAUUUUCUCAAGCCUUAGACGAGAUGAUUCUCACAACUUAGUUAUAGUCUUUCAAACUUCAAAUAAGAUGAUUAUCACGAAUCAGUUUUAUUCUUUCAAACUUCAAACGAAAUGAUGCUUGAAACUCAGUUAUGAUAUUUUAAGCUCUAAAUAAGAUGAUGCACAAGUGGUGAUUUUUUAAGCUCUAUACAAGAUGAUAUUUAGAAGUUAGUUAUAAUCUCACAAGCUUCAGAUUAUAUAAUCUCACAAGUCAGCCCUGGUCUUUCAAGCUCAUAAUGAAAAUGAUGUUUAGAAGUGAAUUAUGAUAUUUAAAGCAUCAGAUAAUGAUGUUCAAACAAUUGACGCAUUCAGGCAUAGUAUUUUAGGGUCUAGACGAGAUAAUGCUCAAAAGUCAGAUAUCGUCUUUCGAGUUCUUGAUGAUCAUGAGAUGAGAUGAUGCUUAGAUGAAAAAUGAGAUCUUAAAUUAAUUCUUAUCCAUCAAUAUAUUAAAAAUGUACAAAAUUUAUAUAAACGGGUAUUUUUACUAUUCUAACAAAAAGUUAACAUUUAAUUGACGAAUAUAAUUAAGAUUAGUAUAAUGUAAAUUCUAUUACAUCAAACUAAAUUAAUUAAAAAUUAAUUAUAUUAUAUAAAAAUAAUAUAAAUAAUUUAAAUUAUAAUUUAAAAUCCCGUCGAAUUUCGACGGGUUAUACACUAGUUCAGCAUAAAUAUUUAAAUCCAACACUUAAGUAAUUAUUCAGAUCUCCCUUUAUUCUGGGAUUUGAUACCACAUCAUUAAAUUGAUUAUGAUGCCAUCAAAAUCAAGAUUCUAUAAACAAUCAAACCAGAUACAAUAUUAUUCGAAAUGAGGCAUCACAGCAUCACUACAUGUCAAAUACAUCUAAUUCUGCAACCCUUCGAUUCCUUACAAACAAGAGAGCUCCAGCUCAAUUAUACUUGAUGAAUUCUAAACAGUUCAAAAAAAAAAAAGCCUACUACAUGUAGCGAUCAAGAACUCGACUUUGCAACGACCCUACUAUAUAGAGUAAACCAACGAGACUGGAUAAGAUACUUCACACGGUUCUGAGUACCUUAUAGGUCGAGCCUGGCACAUGUAGCGCCACUACCUAAAUAACUAGACAUCCGACAUCUAACUAGCUUUCCCUAC
This 4109-nucleotide long non-coding RNA is filed under the name Salvia miltiorrhiza (redroot sage). RNAcentral's name for it is "long non-coding RNA (SMIL_LNC004569)". Lineage: Eukaryota; Viridiplantae; Streptophyta; Magnoliopsida; Lamiales; Lamiaceae. The record is from RNAcentral.